AACGAACGCUGGCGGCAUGCCUAACACAUGCAAGUCGAACGAGACCUUCGGGCCUGGUGGCGCACGGGGGCGUAACGGGGGGGGACCUGCCCAUAAGUUCGGAAGAACGCGCGGAAAGAGGUGCGAAUACGGGAGCAUGUAUUCGAACCGAAGGUAGAUCGCAUUUGGGGGGGCCCGCGUUGGAUUCGCUAGUUGGUAGGGUAAAAGCCUCCCAAGGCGACGAUGGAUAGCGGGUUUGAGAGGCUGGGCCGCCACACUGGGACUGAGCAACGGCCCAGACUCUUACGGGAGGCAGCAGUGCGGAAUCUAGGACAGUGGCGUGUGUCCUGAUCCUGCUCUGCCGCGUGAGUGCUGAAGGUCUUAGGGUUGUAAAGCUCUUUUACCCGUGAUGAUAAUGACAGUACCGGGAGAAUAAGCUCCGGCUAACUCCGUG
This 433-nucleotide ribosomal RNA is filed under the name uncultured bacterium. Its description in RNAcentral is "partial 16S ribosomal RNA". It matches the Rfam family "Bacterial small subunit ribosomal RNA", at positions 28 to 507 of the family's 1533-position model. The record is from RNAcentral.